UCGCACUUUAAUCAUUGUUCAGUAAUAAUUUUGAUUAGUUUUUUGAACAGAUUUCGAAGGCUUCAGUUUAUAAUAAUCCAUAAUAAUAAUAAUCAAGUUUGGCAUUUCUACUUGAUAAUGCAAAUAUGUUCAACAAAAUAGGUACAUGCCAGACUUCACGCUUGAUGAGUGGCACCCGUAGCUUGUAUGACAAGAAUGUUUGAUAAUAGUUAUAAUAACGCGAUCUCUUCCGUCACUCCAUUUGUUUGACGUUGAAAAGCUUGAGUUCACCAAAAUUUCAACGCUGGCCUCUUGAACUGUUGGAGAUUUCUACAAGAAGGUAGUAUAAGUGACGUGAUCUGAGAUCAAGUACAGCGUGGGCUCGCGACAUCCGCCCGGCAAGAUUGCUGAUAAUCUGGACAGCGACCUCUUAGAGUCAACUCUUCAACUUAAUCAUCAAAACAUUCAACAAAUGCGUUUCUGACACUUUCUUAUACAACAGACGUUGAGCUUUCGGUCUUUAAUAGCAUUUCAAAAACGGAAUAGAUCCCAACCAUAGAAUUGAGUCUUAUUGAGGAAGAGAUUGAGUUGCGUUAUUAAUUUCUUUGAUUUGUAUCUUGGUUCUUAACUUGCUCAAUAUUUUUUAAUAUUUCACAACUCUCACACUAAUCAUUUUUACAUAUGCUUUCACAUUUCGAAUAGUGUUUUUGGUGUACAUUCAAACACACUCAAUGCACUUUCAAAAAAUUAAAAAUAUACUAGAACAAAGCGUUAACGAGUGUUUCCAUUUGGUGUUGUGUAAUUUUUGUGAAGGGGUUUGCGCAGUCGUUCCCCUUUAUGGAUACUCUUGAUGUUGGUUUAGCGAAUUCGAAUAGAAGCGCGAUUUGUUUACGACGCCGUUCUUGUGGCUAUUUAUUUGCUCGGCCUGAAAUUAGUGGCACUUUGUUGUCAGUCCGGUGUCGUAAGAUGUGCAAGUUAUUCCAGUGGAAUUCACUUUACAGAGGCGGUUAUUCGCUGUGCAGAUUUAAAUU
Tribolium madens (black flour beetle) is the source of this 1010-nucleotide long non-coding RNA. RefSeq lists it as uncharacterized. NCBI's taxonomy places the organism in Eukaryota, Metazoa, Arthropoda, Insecta, Coleoptera, Tenebrionidae. The record is from RefSeq and is a predicted model, not a curated record. The transcript is spliced from 3 exons.